RNAcentral lists this transfer RNA (84 nucleotides) under Motilibacter peucedani. RNAcentral describes it as "Actinomycetales bacterium RP-AC37 tRNA". It matches the Rfam family "tRNA". From Rfam's summary of the family: Transfer RNA (tRNA) molecules are approximately 80 nucleotides in length. Their secondary structure includes four short double-helical elements and three loops (D, anti-codon, and T loops). Further hydrogen bonds mediate the characteristic L-shaped molecular structure. tRNAs have two regions of fundamental functional importance: the anti-codon, which is responsible for specific mRNA codon recognition, and the 3' end, to which the tRNAs corresponding amino acid is attached (by aminoacyl-tRNA synthetases). tRNAs cope with the degeneracy of the genetic code in two manners: having more than one tRNA (with a specific anti-codon) for a particular amino acid; and 'wobble' base-pairing, i.e. permitting non-standard base-pairing at the 3rd anti-codon position. The record is from Rfam by way of RNAcentral. Lineage: Bacteria; Bacillati; Actinomycetota; Actinomycetes; Motilibacterales; Motilibacteraceae.
GCGGGAGUGGCGAAACUGGCAGACGCGCGGGAUUUAGGUUCCCGUGCCCGAGAGGGCUUGGGGGUUCGAGUCCCCUCUUCCGCA